AGUGAACGCUGGCGGUAGGCCUAACACAUGCAAGUCGAACGGCAGCACAGUAAGAGCUUGCUCUUACGGGUGGCGAGUGGCGGACGGGUGAGGAAUACAUCGGAAUCUACUUUUUCGUGGGGUAUAACGUAGGGAAACUUACGCUAAUACCGCAUACGACCUACGGGUGAAAGCAGGGGAUCUUCGGACCUUGCGCGAUUGAAUGAGCCGAUGUCGGAUUAGCUAGUUGGCGGGGUAAAGGCCCACCAAGGCGACGAUCCGUAGCUGGUCUGAGAGGAUGAUCAGCCACACUGGAAGUGAGACACGGUCCAGACUCCGACGGGAGGCAGCAGUGGGGAAUAUUGGACAAGGGGCGCAAGCCUGAUCCAGGCAUACCGCGUGGGUGAAGAAGGCCUUCGGGUUGUAAAGCCCUGUUGUUGGGAAAGAAAAGCAGCAGGUUAAUACCCCGCUGUUCUGACGGUACCCAAAGAAUAAGCACCGGCUAACUUCGUG
This 492-nucleotide ribosomal RNA is filed under the name uncultured bacterium. RNAcentral describes it as "partial 16S ribosomal RNA". It matches the Rfam family "Bacterial small subunit ribosomal RNA", at positions 29 to 507 of the family's 1533-position model. The record is from RNAcentral.